RNAcentral lists this ribosomal RNA (607 nucleotides) under uncultured Lachnospiraceae bacterium. Its description in RNAcentral is "bacterial SSU rRNA". It matches the Rfam family "Bacterial small subunit ribosomal RNA", at positions 103 to 728 of the family's 1533-position model. The record is from RNAcentral. Lineage: Bacteria; Bacillati; Bacillota; Clostridia; Lachnospirales; Lachnospiraceae.
CGGGUGAGUAACACGUGAGUAACCUGCCUCUGAGAGUGGGAUAGCUUCUGGAAACGGAUGGUAAUACCGCAUAACAUCAUGGAUUCGCAUGUUUCUAUGAUCAAAGAUUUAUCGCUCAGAGAUGGACUCGCGUCUGAUUAGCUAGUUGGUAAGGUAACGGCUUACCAAGGCGACGAUCAGUAGCCGGACUGAGAGGUUGAUCGGCCACAUUGGGACUGAGACACGGCCCAGACUCCUACGGGAGGCAGCAGUGGGGAAUAUUGCACAAUGGGGGAAACCCUGAUGCAGCGAUGCCGCGUGGAGGAAGAAGGUUUUCGGAUUGUAAACUCCUGUUGAAGAGGACGAUAAUGACGGUACUCUUUUAGAAAGCUCCGGCUAACUACGUGCCAGCAGCCGCGGUAAUACGUAGGGAGCGAGCGUUGUCCGGAAUUACUGGGUGUAAAGGGAGCGUAGGCGGGAUGGCAAGUCAGAUGUGAAAACUAUGGGCUCAACCCAUAGACUGCAUUUGAAACUGUUGUUCUUGAGUGAGGUAGAGGUAAGCGGAAUUCCUGGUGUAGCGGUGAAAUGCGUAGAGAUCAGGAGGAACAUCGGUGGCGAAGGCGGCUUA